This is a long non-coding RNA of Columba livia (rock pigeon), 6643 nucleotides long. RefSeq lists it as uncharacterized. The record is from RefSeq and is a predicted model, not a curated record. The transcript has 2 exons. Lineage: Eukaryota; Metazoa; Chordata; Aves; Columbiformes; Columbidae.
UGUGUGCUGAAAAAAACAAAACAACGGGGGAAAACCAGGUGAUAUAAAUGAUUCUCACUGCAUUUCCAUGCUAGUUCUAUAAUAAGAAACUGAAUCACAAAAACCUGAAGAUAACUUCUCGAUGUGUAGAAAGACAAGGUAAAACGACUCUUAAAGCCGAUCAAUAGCCCCCAAAAUAUCGUCGCUGUAAUGCCCAAUUGUUCGAGAGAGCAGAGGAAAACUGAGUGAGCAGAAGGUCCUUUUUUCCUUUUGUCCAGGAUUCCAAGGCAGAUACUCAGUGGGUAAAAAGGGGAUGUGGCAUGAAGGGACACGGGGUCCUAGUCCCAGUCUGGCCUUGAGUUGCCCUGUUAUCUUUGCCACGUCACUUUUUGGUUAUUUUGACCAUUCAAGUUAGGAAGCACCGCAUCUGAUUUUCAGAGACUCUAAGCACAAACAAUGCCAAAUGAAUGAAUACAAAUGGAGGUAUUUAAUGCUUCUGAGAAUUACGUUUAAAUGUAUCUCAAUCUGGGGCCUUGAAAACAGGGGACAUAUUUUCAAAUGAUAGCCUCAAUACCUCUGCUCCUCCAUCUGUAAGACAGGAGCAAUUAUCUUCUUUGGAUAGGUGUUGUGAAUCUUAAUUGUUAGUUGUUGUGCAAAAUGGUUUUAGAUUCCCAAAUAAAACAUAAGAAAGCCAAAGCUGUAAAAACCAUUUUCAGCCACUUGUCUUUAUUUAGCUGUGAAAACCCUUAUUCUGUCAUUUUUCCACACACGUUUCCCAUACUGCCCCUUCUGAGAAGGUCUGUUCAUCCAAUUAAUGUCAGCAGUAUGAGAAAUAGCAUCUAGCCUGCCCCCAGCACUCGAUGUCUAGAUUUCACAGUGCUGGCAGGCAUGAAAAUAUACAUAAGCGAAACACGAACGUGCCAGAAAAUAAACCCCAUCAUUUUUCAAUACACAGCUCACCUAGAACCAGCAUUACUGGUGACUCCAGAAUCACACCCUGCUUUGCCACGACGGGGACAAGUUAUCGCUGGUGUCUAAAGGGAUUUACUUUGGUUGAGAGCUUGGCCCUGGGGCUUGGUGUGACCACGGCUGCAAACUCUCCUGCCUAGUUCACUGGCAGGUCUGCAGGUGUGAGGACUGCAAGGGCAGCCUAAGCCAUAAGCUAGGUUCCAUCCUUCCCCAACACUUGCUCACCCACUGGAAAAGAAGGCUGUGACUUACGUUGGCCGUGUUGUGCCAUCAGGUGUGCACAUGUAGUUCUGGGGAAGCUGGAGGGCCAAAUUAGUAAUAACUACGCUGUUAACCCACACUGAUUUUUACCUACACGAAGGCAGGACAGACAAGGAGCAGAAAUAACCUUGUGUGGAUAACAGGUACAAAUGAGAGGAAACAGCAGAGUGUGGGCCUUGAACAACUGCAGAGAAGGAAGAAUUGUCUGAAUGGGAAAUAAUAAGAUAAUGGAAAUGCUCUGGCUCAGAGAUGUAACGUAAUUUGAAUUGGAUAACUGCUCUGAUUUUCAAGGCAUUAGUAAUUAAUGACUAGCAUUUGGAGAAUGUCAGGUGGAUAAUACAGCAGUUAGUGGAGCUUUCAAUUUUUUCAUCUUUUAACAACUUGUUCCGCCCCCAUCCCUUUGAACAGUAUAAAUCAGCAUCAAGGGAACGCAAAGAUGUUUUACAUGUGGUCUGCAAUAGAGGUGCCCACUAUUAGAUGACAGGUCUUUAAACUGUGCAGGAUCUUCAGAGUCCAUUAACAGGGACUGACGGCAAAGCAAGCCCUGGAGAUUCACCUGAACAUCUUGCAUCUGUAUGAAAAAGGUCUUCAGACAGAGAUCAGUUCCUCACUCUGCACAGCCCAAAAUGCAGGGUAGCUGGAGGCUGUGCAAAUGCCUCCUGCCCUGCGUUCUAUAACCUUUUCAGAGCGAAAAAAAAUCAGAAGACAACAAAGACUUUUAACUCCAAACCCCACCCUUGAUAUUUCUUGUACAGUCUAAUCUUGUGAUCCAGUCACUUAGUCUUAACUCUUCGUUACAUGGAUUGAUGGGUACGGAGCUUGUAAGCUCUGUUUCUCAAUUGAAAUGUUUACCAUGUUACAUACUGCUUGUUGAUGUGCUCUUCAUUGAUGACAACAACUCAACAGCUUGCCAAUUAAAAAGUAGUUAAAAUAAUUUCAGCAAUCAACCCUUAAUCUGGAGUCUUUUUUGCCUUUCCCUCCUCCCAGUUCCUGUGGUUAUAUAAUAAAAUAGGCCAUUAUUUUUCUAAAUUCUCCCUUCUGCUAUUUUCUAAAGGUAAGAUGGGGGAAAAAGGGAUAAUGAGCUGCAUCACUAAAGAGUUUAUGUAUAAAAUCCUGUCAAAAGUACAGUGCAAUUAAAAGUGUAAGGAGGAAAUCAGAGACGUGUCUCUUUAAUCUUAGCCCAUUAUAGCAAAUGUCAAUGCUACCUGCAAACACUGCAGAUUUACAAAUCCGAAUACGAACUUUGGUUUAAAAUAUUCCAGCGAGACUGCCACUCUAAAAAGCUGUUUCAGGUGCUUUACUCAAACUAUAACCAAGAUAAAAUUUCUCUUUCCUACACUGCAGGCUCUCCAAAGCCCUUAAUUUAAAAACCAUGAAAUUUUGUAGGCAGGGAUACCUUCUGUUGAACAGUGCCAAUGACAACUCUGGAGCUAUAAAUACCCAAUUUGAAUCAGAUUGGCACCUGGACUGAAGCCUAGUGAAGGUGAGCAGCGGUCAAAUGCGCUUGGAGUGGGAUCCACCAUGGCUGGGAAAGCUGCAGGAGUCCAGAAAUUUCAUACCCUCUAAUGUUUUUGCCACCUGAUUUCUGAAUAAACUUGGGCCAAUGAGGCUUAGAGAGAAAGUAGCAUUGAUGCUUCCUUGACCUGUUUGUUAAAGGUCACGUCAUGCUGAUCAAAGACGCCCAACUGGUAUCUCUGGGACCGAUCCCUUUUACUUACUGGCAGGCUGGAGGAGAGAACAUUUCUCACCUUCUUUGUCAAAGUAUCUCCAGGGGCUUACUUGAGAGAAGACUAAGGAAUGAGGAAGGUCAAAUAACACGUUUAAAUGGUGAGGACGUUUGGCUGCUGUAACAGCUUUCCAGUAGUUGUUAUGUCGUGCCAUUUAAAGUCUUGAAGGGCAAAUUUUUAAUUAGAGUGUAAUGACUAGCAUAGUGUUGUAAUAGUAGCACUAUGCUAGCACUAGUAAUCAAUGCUAUACUGAUAAGGCACUUUUAUUAGGGACUAAGUAUUUACAAGCAAAGCUGCAUUUUUUCCCGGACAGCUUAUUCUGCUCCCACUGAGACCAGCUGCUCCUGUGAGACAGUUUUGCUGGUACAACCGUGCUGACCCUGGAGACCUGAGCCAAGCGAUGCUGUGGGUACCUGGGAGCGCCCCCGUCCAUGGGCCAGGAAGGCAACACUUGCUGCACGUGUGCUAUGGGGGGACAGCAGGCUCGGGGUAUCCCCCACCCUGUCCAGGCAGCAGCAAGGGAGCAACUGAACCCUGCCCUUAGCAGGAGCUCUUAGCUUGGGCCCAGCAACUGUACCUACCAGCAGGAAAAUGUAGCCUGUUGACUUCUGCUGCGACCAUGGUGCUGCCUGCCAAGGUGCCCUCCUGGCUGCAAAGCCCUUUUUCUCCAGCGUGCCAAGGCAGUGACCCUCAGACCCAUUUUUAACCCCUCUCUGAAGGGAUCCAUCUGCCAAGACCAUCUCAUGAGCUGGUGCGUGGAGUAAGCCCCUGCUACCCUGCCACAGCGUCACCCUGCUCAGCCCCGUCGUGUCCCGUCACUGCCUGUCCCUGCAGCAGGAAGGCAGCUUUGAGAGAUAUUUACACUUGCCAGGUCUGCCAGCAAGUGCUGGUCUGCAGAGCAGCAAGCUGCAAUUUCCUCCCCGUUUUGUGUCCACCACACAGCACUGCUUCCCUAGGUUACAUCACCUUCCAAGUGGGGAAGAAAUAUGUUGACUCUUCAACUGCUGGUAAUGAUGCAUUAGAACAGAGAGAAACCAGCCCGAAGUAUGAAGGUUGGGUGGAAUUUGCGGGAAGGUUAUCAUAUGGAGAAUUUGAUCCAGAAAAUACUCGGGAGAAUGACUCCAAGAGAGCAACUUCUGAGUGAAGCUGAAUUAGCACACACUGCAAAAAAGCCACCCCAAGACCUGCAGGUGGAUUAAUUCCUAGAACCACCGUCAUUGCUUCCUGAGAGAAACUCUGCUCAUUAGUGACUCUUCAAAAGACAUUUUUAAAAUACAUACUACCUCUCAAAUGGUAUGUAUGUGCCUAAUGACAUUUGGGACUCGAAAACCACAUUACAAAUAGGCAGCAUGUCUGUUGUGUUGGCCUGCCAAGCUGAGCUUUGCUGGAGGACUGUACUUCCCCAUUUUCAGUGUGUGCUCCAACAGGUAGUUGGAAAAAAGGUUUUAUGUAAAUCAGGUACAUUAAGUUCUGUAAUUAACUGCUUAUUCUUGAAAGCCUGAUUAUAUAUUUUAUCUUCCAACUUUCAAAGUGCUGCUUUUUUAACACUGUUUCAUCAAUGCCUUGCCUGGCCUUCUCCCUUUUAACUGUGUUUUAAAGGAAAUGUUACAGCUUUUCAAAAGGUGCUAAACUGACAUCUUUGUGUAUUGGUAUCUUCUGUCCUUAGCACAAACAUGGCAGUGCUGUCUUCCCAAGUCACCCACUCCUGAUCUGCAGAGACUGUCCAGAACUGCCUUUACAACAGAGUUCUGUCUAAGAAAGCAUCUGCUUUCUCACAUGGCCAAAAGCAGUAGCAGACUAAUGUGAGCGUGGUCUCACUAGUGCACCCAGAGAUCCAUCUGUAACCAGUUCUGCAUGACACGCACUGCCCUGCGUCUUCUGAACACCACGCCCUCUGCUGCAAGGCAGACAUGCAGGAGGGAAGAGCUUCUCCAGCUAUGGUGCAUGUGCCCCUGGCCAAAGCACUGCACCAGCUCCGUGUCCCUCCCGCCCGUGCCAGGGCACAGGGCUGAGCCGUGGACGCUGGCAGCCGCUGCUGAGUGACCUGGUGACCGGUGAUAAGCCGUGGCCAGGCACCACAGCAGCUCCCAGCGCUGCACUCGGCUUUGGUGAUGGCACCUGCUGCAGGAAAACAUGCUGCUGGUCUUGCGCUCUGUGCUCAGGAUGCAGAAGGCAGGCCAAGGCAGGGCCUAGGGGUACCACAACCAGUAAGCCUGGGUGUGAUGUGCUGUCAGCGAGUGCGUACAGCACUAGCACGUGCUGGUGUGCAGGGACGUGAGGAUCCGUGCUGGGGGUGCAGGGAAGGCAGGAGGCAUGGGCUGGGGUCCUGCUCCUGAGGCAGCACAUAUGGUUGGGGGAAAACAAGUCUGUGCAGGAAGGCAGGGGAAGAAAGGUAGGGGUGCAGCCCUGCUUCUGUGUCUACUAGAGCUGCUUCUCUGCAGAGAAGGAAUGUAAGCUAACAAGCCUGAGGAACACCCUGAACUAAGAUCUUCUGUCAUGAAAACACAUGGACAUUCCCUACUGAUUUUACCCACUAUAUGACAUACUUCGGGAGAAUCAUUCAGCUUCAAAUGCAAUUAGUUCUAAAUGCUAUUGUUCAUGUUAAAACAACUGUUAUUUCGAUGGAUAGUAAAAGCCUACACACUGUAGUAAAGGCAGCAAUGUCGGACACAAAGACAUUACAAAAUCUAUAACCUGACCCUUUAGAACCCGACUUGAACCAUCAGAUUUGACUUAUGAGAACAGUUACAAUAGUGCUUCAUGCAAAAAGCAUUAGGUUAAUGCUGGAUCAGGCAAAGUUGCCAAACACACCCUGGCGUAAUUAAUCAAGAAUAUUUCAAAACCAGAUCACUUCGAAGAGGUUAUUGAUUUCCUGUCAUGACACGUUUUGCUUAUGAGGUGCUACGAUGCUAUGUAUCUGAGAUGUGCUGGCUUGUAUUUUUCAGUGACUAAGCCUUGAUCUAUCUUCCUGGAUUCCUGCCACUGGUGCACUGACAUCUGUAACUACUCAUGUCUGACAGUCUCAUGCAUGAGCUAUGUGGCUUCCAACUUGGAUGGGAUUAGUAUAGGAGACUUUCUGAAUACUUCAAAUGUAAUUGAAAGCAGAUAAAGACAAGGGUCUCAAGAGGGUGGCAUACUUUUUACAAAUGGUAUCACAUUAAAUCACGUGUAUGCAUGCUUAGACUGAUAAAGAUCUCAGUGUUAAGCAGUAUAGUACGCAAGAAAGUGUUAGCCCUUAUUCUUUAAUAUGUAUGAAUCCUGAUAGUGUCACAUCUUUCUAAAAUCCAAAUAUGCUGCAUGGCUAAAGUGUGGUUUGGCCAAGCAUGCAAAGGUAUGCAUUUGGGAAGAAGGGUGGGGGAAGAGGAACGUAUCUGGAGACUGGCAGGUGUUUUGCCUUUCAUCCACGGUUCAACUAAGGCAUGCAUGUCUUCUGUGAACCUUCCCUGCCAAGUAAUGAGAGCUGAAGACAAACUAUAUAUCAUGCAACUCAAGAUUAUACUGUUACAGUGUCAAGUGCUAGCAAAUAAGAAAUUACGUUUUUUUCCAGAGAAAAAUUCAAUCACAUUCCUUACACAGAACACAUUUCUAUUUACCUGUUUUUCUUGGUAAAUAUGGACACUGAUAUCCUAAUCUGUAAAUGUAUUUCUGUACAUAUUUACUGAAUACUGUAAAAUAGAGGAUGUAAAUAAAACUGACGUCAACACUGC